RNAcentral lists this long non-coding RNA (681 nucleotides) under Monodelphis domestica (gray short-tailed opossum). RNAcentral describes it as "lncRNA (ENSMODG00000050056.1)". The record is from RNAcentral. Lineage: Eukaryota; Metazoa; Chordata; Mammalia; Didelphimorphia; Didelphidae.
AUGAAGUAUUACUGGGAAAAUCGGCCCUCACACUUUUCUCAUUCUCUGGAGAAUUUCUUCGCAUUUCAUCCAUUUCUAAGGUCAGCUCAAUACUCUUCUGUUAGCUUACUCCCCCCUGACCACAAGAGACAGAGAUCUGAAAAGGAUCUUAGAGAUGAUCUGAUCCAAAACUUUGAUUCUGCAGAAAUGGAAACUGCGCCUCACAGAGGAAUUAUAGAAUCACAAAUGGACAUAGAUCUGGAAAGAUUGCCUGGCUUCUCUCCCUGUAGAACAGAACUAUGAAUCUCUUUUCUGGAAGCGUGUUCCAACACCAAGUGAGAAGAAGCAGAAGAAAGUCAGGAGGGCCCCAGUGAGCCAGGAGACCGAGGAUACUCUGGUAGAGAAAUGAUGUUGCACAAAGAACCCUGGAGUCAAUAGAUGUGAGUUAAGAGGAAACCUGGUCUGAACAGUGGCUAAAGUGCUGGAACUGCAGUCUAGAAGAGCAGAGUUCAAAUAUUGUCUCUGAGGAUCACUCGUCGUGUGACCAAUGUUGAUCCUCACAACCACCCUGGGAGAGCAGUGCAAUUAUUUCCCCCAUUUUACAGAUGAGGAAACUACAGAGAUUAAGUGACUUGCCAGAUUCAUACAGGUAAUUAUGUGAGGCCAGAAUUUGAACUCAGUUUUCCUGACUCCGUGCCCAGC